AGAGUUUGAUCCUGGCUCAGGACGAACGCUGGCGGUGUGCUUCACACAUGCAAGUCGAACGGAGUAGCAAUACUCAGUGGCGGACGGGUGAGUAACACGUGGGAAUCUACCAUUAGGUGGGGAAUAACAGGCCGAAAGGACUGCUAAUGCCGCAUAUGUAGGCAUCUCGACAGAGAUGUUUAUGAAAGGAGUAAUCCGCCUUUUGAUGAGCCCGCGUCCGAUUAGCUAGUUGGUAGGAUAAAAGCCUACCAAGGCGACGAUCGGUAGGUGGUCUGAGAGGAUGAUCACCCACAAUGGGACUGAGACACGGCCCAUACUCCUACGGGAGGCAGCAGUGGGGAAUUUUACGCAAUGGGGGAAACCCUGACGUAGCGACACCGCGUGAGCGAAGAAGCCCUUUGGGGUGUAAAGCUCUGUCAACAGGAACGAAACAAAUGACGGUACCUGUGGAGGAAGCAUCGGCUAACUACGUGCCAGCAGCCGCGGUAAGACGUAGGAUGCAAGCGUUGUCCGGAUUUAUUGGGCGUAAAGAGUUCGUAGGCGGUUUGUUAAGUCUGAUGUUAAAGACCGGGGCUCAACCUCGGAAAUGCAUUGGAUACUGGCAGACUGGAGUGCAGUAGAGGCUAGUGGAAUUCCCAGUGUAGCGGUGAAAUGCGUAGA
RNAcentral lists this ribosomal RNA (660 nucleotides) under uncultured bacterium. Its description in RNAcentral is "bacterial SSU rRNA". It matches the Rfam family "Bacterial small subunit ribosomal RNA", at positions 8 to 694 of the family's 1533-position model. The record is from RNAcentral.